UACGAAGGGUGCAAACGUUGAUCGGAAUUAUUGGGCGUAAAGCGCACGUAGGCGGCUUAGCAAGUUGGAUGUGAAAGCCCUCGGCUCAACCGAGGAAGUGCAUCCAAAACUGCUGAGCUUGAGUACUUAAGAGGAUCGCGGAAUUCCCGGUGUAGAGGUGAAAUUCGUAGAUAUCGGGAGGAACACCAGUGGCGAAGGCGGCGAUCUGGGAAGAUACUGACGCUGAGGUGCGAAAGCGUGGGGAGCAAACAGG
This 253-nucleotide ribosomal RNA is filed under the name uncultured bacterium. Its description in RNAcentral is "partial 16S ribosomal RNA". It matches the Rfam family "Bacterial small subunit ribosomal RNA", at positions 524 to 776 of the family's 1533-position model. The record is from RNAcentral.